AGCAUGAGAGCAAAACCUUGCCUUCGUUGUUUCUAGUCACAAUCCCUGCAGCCGAUUGCUUACUCUUUCCAUCAUAUGCUGCAUCAAAGUUUAUCUUCACAAUCUGGUCAUGUGGCUUCUUCCAUUUGCUUGUCAAUUUAUAUGAUUGUGCUUUACUUUUUCCUAUCCCGUCCAACUCUGUUAUGUAGCUACUAACGAAUCGGCCUAUUUCUUUUCCAGAUUUGCUCACUUUAUUAUGCACUUUGUUAUUUCUGUCUCCCCAUAUAGCCCAUAAUGCAUAGCAAAAUAUCCUACACUGAGAUUCCGAGUUCUUCGAAAAAACUCCGGUAAGCCACUCUGCAAACUCCAACAGUCUUUCGUGCACCAAAACAUUACAUGGUAAUUCCUUCCAUACUGAUUUUGACACAGGGAAUUCGCAAAAAAAAGUGAUUCAUACUCUCUGUUUCGACUCCACAUCGUGGGCACACUGUUGUGUUUAUUAGUUUUUUCUGAAGUAGAUUAACCCGUGUAGCUAGGAAAUUCCACGAUAUCUUCCAGAUUGUAAUUUUGAUUUUUAAGGGAAGAUUCAAUAGCCAUAAUUUUCUGUAAAAUUCCUUGUAACCUUCUUGUAAAGCAUAAGCUCUAGGAUCAUCCUCGAUAUUCUGUAAUAGUUUAUAGGAGCUACGAACUGUGAAUUCGCCCGACGCCUCAGCACUCUAAACCCGGAAGUCAUCAUGAGGAUCCUCUGCCAGUGGAAUACCAAUAAUCUUCUCAGCUACAUCCUCCGGAAAGGUAGAAAUUAUCAACUCUUCCUUCAAUGUUCUGUUAUUUUGAUUGAUUAGAUCGGUAACUUUACAAUCAUUCAAAUUCGUGACUAUAGCUGAUAAUCUGUUUCUUCCCACAUCGGGGAUCCAAUUGUCACAACCAACUAUAAUUUGCUCUCCCCUUCCUACUCUCCAGCACAUACCUUCCCUUAAAAUACCCUUUGUAGCCCAAAUACCUUUCCACGUAUACGAAGCAUUGCUCCCCAAACAUGAGUCAAGGAAAUUAUUAUUCGAAAAAUAUUUUGCUUUUAAAACUUGAGCUAAUAAUGAAUCUGGAUAGUUCAAUAUUCUCCAACCCUGUUUAGCUAAUAAUGAGAGGUUAAAUUUAGCCAUAUCUCUGAAUCCCAAACCCCCUUCUCCUUUUGACCGGCACAAGUAAGUCCAUUUACACCAAUGAAUUCCUCUUCUCCCAUGAGCUUUUUGCCACCAAAACUUAGCAAAAAUGCCUUCUAUAUCUCUGCAAAAUGACUUCGGUAAUAAAAAAUAAGACAUUGCAUAUGUUGGAAUAGCCUGUAGGACCGACUUCAAAAAUACUUCAUUGCCUCCUUGCGACAACAUUCUGGUGCUCCACCCUUCGAUUCUACUGUAAAUUUUCACUUUGAGAUAUUGAAAAGAUUCUUUUUUCCGUCUACCCACCACAUUCGGAAGCCCUAGAUAUCUUUCCAUAUUUGUUGAGGUUCUUAUCCCCAUAAUUACCGAGACUUCGUUCUUUUUGUCUUCUGUAGUAUUAGUGCUGAAAAAGAUUGUAGAUUUGUUAAAAUUAACACAUUGACCGGAACUUUUACCAUAUUCUUUCAAAAUUUUUUUUAGCACCGUUGUCCCCUUCCUGUUGCUUCCCCAAACAAAAUACAAUCAUCUGCAAAGAGUAGAUGUGUAAUUUUCGGGCCUCUCAUACUUGCCUUUGCUCCUUUUAACAACCUUUCCUUUGAUGCCAGUCUCAUCAAGGCUGAUAACCCCUCAUUGCACAUUAAAAAGAGAAAAGGGCUCAAAGGAUCUCCUUGUCGCAAUCCUCUUGUUGGCUUAAAACUUUGCCCAUAACCUCCAUUAGUAUUCACAACAUAGGACGUAGUAGAAAUGCAUUUCAUGACCAACUCUACCCAUUCUAUAUCAAAACCCAUACAUAACAUGACUUCUUUUAAAUAACCCCAUUAAACCCUAUCAUAGGCUUUACUCAUAUCAAGCUUUACGGCCAUAUAUCCUUUUUUCCCUCUUCGUUUUUGUCUAAAUGUAUGCAGAAUCUCAUAGGCAAGUAGCACAUUAUCUGUAAUUAGCCUUCCUGGGACGAAUGCACUUUGAGCUGCAUCAAUACACCUUCCAAUACCGAUUUGAAGUCGAUUUGCAAUUAUUUUUGCCACCAUUUUAUAAAGGACUGAACAUAAACUAAUAGGUCUGAAAUUGGCUAAGCUAGUAGGGUUAGAGAUUUUAAGAAUCAACACAAUCUCUGUUUGAUUGAAAGGACUAAAAUUUUCACUAUUAUUAAGAAUUCCCAGACAGAAAUCAACAAUUUCCUUACCUACAAUGUGCCAAAAUUUCUAAAAGAAGAUUGCUGGAAAACCAUCCCGACCUGGUGCUUUUAUGGGGCCCAUUCCUUUCAAAGCCCCAUGAACUUCUUCUGCUGUAUAUUUCUUCAUCAAGGCUCUGUUAAUUUCUACCUGAAUCUUACUAUCAAUGCCUGUUAGAAGAUGAGAAGGAUCUCCUACUUCACUUGAUGUAAAUAAAUUUUGAAAGUACCUGGUAGCCAUUUCAUUAAUCUCACUAGCUUCAUUAGCCUCUCCCCCAUCUUCCAGAUCUAACUUUGAAAUUGUAUUGAUUUUCUUCGGAUUGUGGCGAAUCUAUGGAAAAAAAACCGUAUUUCGAUCUCCUACCUUAAGCCAAUUUGCCCUUGCGCUUUGUUCCCAAUAGAGCUCAUCCUUCUCAAUCUCCAUGUUUAAAUGAAUUUUGGUAUCAAUUAUUUUUGCCAUUAAUUCAUCACUCCUAUCCUGCUCCAUUAAUAUUUCAAGCUGCUUAGUAAGCUUUUUCUUCAAACCUUCUAUUCGUUCUUUUAUUGAAUUUGCCCAUAACUUUAAAUCAAUCUUUAAUCUUUCGAGCUUGUCAUAAACUGUGCCUACUCCUGACUCCCAAGAAUCUCUAACUACUUCCUCAAAUGUAUCCUCCAUGAUCCACCAUGCCUCAAAUUUAAACCUUACAUUGCCUUUAUGAGUGUCUCCACAUUUUGUAUUAACAAGAAUAGGACAAUGAUCAGACAUGGAAUGAGUUAAAUGCUUGAUAUUACCUACUGGAAAUAAUUGCUUCCACUUGUCGUUUGCCACCCCCUUAUCAAGUCUCUUUCUAAUAUUCGUCUCCGAUGAAUUUCCCCUUUCCCAAGUAAACCAGGCCCCUGAAUAACCCAAAUCUUCAAGUAAACAAUCUCCUAAAGCCUCUCUAAAUGCCUCCAUUCGACUCUCCUCCUUUGGUGCGCCCCCAUAUUUUUCAUAAGUAAAAAGUAUCUUAUUAAAAUCACCGCAUACCAGCCAGGGAUGCCUCCUAUCUUGUCCCAACUUUUUUAGCAAAUUCCAUGUAGCACUCUUAUCCUUAGCAUAGGGCGAACCAUAAAACCCCAUGAAUCUCCAAUCGACUUCGACUUCUGCAUCACCUCCUUUAAUCAUAGCAUCAAUAUGGUUUUUGUAAUAACUUUGUAAACAUACUUGAAUGUCUCCUUUCCAUGCCAAGCAUAAUCCUCCUUGCGAACCCUCAGCUUCAAUGUCAAUACCAUUGUUGAAACCACAUCUUCUUCUAACUUUUUCCAUACGAUGUUUAUCUAACUUUGUCUCCAUUAAGAAGACCAUUGGGGGAUUGUGUUGCUUUAGAAGAAAGCAAAGCCUCCUCACUGCCCGUGGACUCUCCAAUCCACGAACAUUCUAACUUAUUAUUUUCAUAGCGUCCGGUCGGCUUGCCAAUUGGUAGCCGCCGAUCUUAGUAAAUGUUGUACCUCCGUUUGCUCCGAACACUCCAACGUCCCUUCUGAGCAGGCUCUUUCACAAUCCUCCACAUCAGCCAUUUUCACUCUUUUACUUCCAUCUCUUUCAUCAUUCCUCGGACUACCUUCUUCUGUAAACUUUCUCUUCCUCAUACUAUUAACAUCCGCUAAUUCUACCUCCAUGUCCAAUGUCUUUAUUCUUUUCCAACUCUUUCUCUUUUCUUGAUUAAUGUCUGUACAUACUUGUGCUUUGCUACUAUUGAUCUUCACGACCUCCUCUGGCCCAAAUUUGCUUUCCUGCUUUUGCAGCAACUCUUUUCCUCCCAUCAGCUCCAUAUUUUCCUGGAUUUCCUUUAUCUCAUUCUUCCUUUCAUCAAGCAAUACUUUACCUCCUGUGAAUGAGCUCUGAACCCCCGCAUUCCUCCACAUAGCACUAAACUGCAACUUUCUUUUCCAACUUGUUUUGAUUCUGCUUUUAAAUCCAUUAAAUAAGGUGGAUCACUACUUAUUUUGCUUUUUCUUGCAGGUAUUAUUUGAGUACAAUCUGUAAGUCCAUGCCCCAUUCUUCCACAACCAAAAUAAAAGAUUGGCAGAUUCUCAUAUUUAAAAAGAACCUACAUUUUCUUAAUAUUAAUGCUUGAGACGAAAAUACCUUGACAUAGUGGUUUCUGGACAUCCAAACUAAUUCUGAGUCAGCAGCAAGUAUCGCUUAUUU
This 4474-nucleotide long non-coding RNA is filed under the name Gossypium raimondii (Peruvian cotton). RNAcentral describes it as "long non-coding RNA (GRAI_LNC005585)". The record is from RNAcentral. Lineage: Eukaryota; Viridiplantae; Streptophyta; Magnoliopsida; Malvales; Malvaceae.